Molecule: ribosomal RNA, 477 nt
Filed under: Triticum aestivum (bread wheat)
Lineage: Eukaryota; Viridiplantae; Streptophyta; Magnoliopsida; Poales; Poaceae
Description: partial small subunit ribosomal RNA
Source: RNAcentral
CCAUGCAGCAUCUGCAUGGAGCCAUUGGACACCCACCGAGGCGGCAGCGCCUGCGCGCACGCCUUCUGCGGGGCGUGCCUGGAGGGCCACCGGUGGUGCGCCGCGCUGUGCGAGUCCAUGUUCGCCGGCGCGCGGCGGACCUACUGCCCGUUCCCGGACUGCUCCGAGAUGAUGGUGGCCGACGGCGACGACGACACCGUGACGCAGUCCGAGUGCCAGGUGUGCAGGCGGCUGUUCUGCGCGCAGUGCCGCGUGCCGUGGCACGCCGGCGCCGACUGCGCCGCGUACAGGCACCGGGACACGGCCAGGGAGGACGCGAUGCUGCUGGAGAUGGCCGCGGGGAGGAGGUGGAGGCGGUGCUCCAGGUGCCAGUUCUUCGUGGAGAAGACCGACGGCUGCUUGCACAUCACAUGCAGGUGCGGCUACCAGUUCUGCUACGGGUGUGGCUCGCAGUGGGCUACGUCUUGUUCUGGCUGC